RNAcentral lists this ribosomal RNA (1098 nucleotides) under Mycobacterium sp. RNAcentral describes it as "bacterial SSU rRNA". It matches the Rfam family "Bacterial small subunit ribosomal RNA", at positions 312 to 1421 of the family's 1533-position model. The record is from RNAcentral. Lineage: Bacteria; Bacillati; Actinomycetota; Actinomycetes; Mycobacteriales; Mycobacteriaceae.
ACUGGGACUGAGAUACGGCCCAGACUCCUACGGGAGGCAGCAGUGGGGAAUAUUGCACAAUGGGCGCAAGCCUGAUGCAGCGACGCCGCGUGAGGGAUGACGGCCUUCGGGUUGUAAACCUCUUUCAGUAGGGACGAAGCGAAAGUGACGGUACCUACAGAAGAAGGACCGGCCAACUACGUGCCAGCAGCCGCGGUAAUACGUAGGGUCCGAGCGUUGUCCGGAAUUACUGGGCGUAAAGAGCUCGUAGGUGGUUUGUCGCGUUGUUCGUGAAAACUCACAGCUUAACUGUGGGCGUGCGGGCGAUACGGGCAGACUAGAGUACUGCAGGGGAGACUGGAAUUCCUGGUGUAGCGGUGGAAUGCGCAGAUAUCAGGAGGAACACCGGUGGCGAAGGCGGGUCUCUGGGCAGUAACUGACGCUGAGGAGCGAAAGCGUGGGUAGCGAACAGGAUUAGAUACCCUGGUAGUCCACGCCGUAAACGGUGGGUACUAGGUGUGGGUUUCCUUCCUUGGGAUCCGUGCCGUAGCUAACGCAUUAAGUACCCCGCCUGGGGAGUACGGUCGCAAGACUAAAACUCAAAGGAAUUGACGGGGGCCCGCACAAGCGGCGGAGCAUGUGGAUUAAUUCGAUGCAACGCGAAGAACCUUACCUGGGUUUGACAUGCACAGGACGUACCUAGAGAUAGGUAUUCCCUUGUGGCCUGUGUGCAGGUGGUGCAUGGCUGUCGUCAGCUCGUGUCGUGAGAUGUUGGGUUAAGUCCCGCAACGAGCGCAACCCUUGUCCUAUGUUGCCAGCGGGUAAUGCCGGGGACUCGUAGGAGACUGCCGGGGUCAACUCGGAGGAAGGUGGGGAUGACGUCAAGUCAUCAUGCCCCUUAUGUCCAGGGCUUCACACAUGCUACAAUGGCCAGUACAGAGGGCUGCGAAGCCGCAAGGUGGAGCGAAUCCCUUAAAGCUGGUCUCAGUUCGGAUUGGGGUCUGCAACUCGACCCCAUGAAGUCGGAGUCGCUAGUAAUCGCAGAUCAGCAACGCUGCGGUGAAUACGUUCCCGGGCCUUGUACACACCGCCCGUCACGUCAUGAAAGUCGGUAACACC